AUUGAACGCUGGCGGCAGGCCUAACACAUGCAAGUCGAGCGGAUGAAGGGAGCUUGCUCCUGGAUUCAGCGGCGGACGGGUGAGUAAUGCCUAGGAAUCUGCCUGGUAGUGGGGGAUAACGUCCGGAAACGGGCGCUAAUACCGCAUACGUCCUGAGGGAGAAAGUGGGGGAUCUUCGGACCUCACGCUAUCAGAUGAGCCUAGGUCGGAUUAGCUAGUUGGUGGGGUAAAGGCCUACCAAGGCGACGAUCCGUAACUGGUCUGAGAGGACGAUCAGUCACACUGGAACUGAGACACGGUCCAGACUCCUACGGGAGGCAGCAGUGGGGAAUAUUGGACAUUGGGCGAAAGCCUGAUCCAGCCAUGCCGCGUGUGUGAAGAAGGUCUUCGGAUUGUAAAGCACUUUAAGUUGGGAGGAAGGGCAGUAAGUUAAUACCUUGCUGUUUUGACGUUACCAACAGAAUAAGCACCGGCUAACUUCGUG
Molecule: ribosomal RNA, 484 nt
Filed under: uncultured bacterium
Lineage: Bacteria
Description: partial 16S ribosomal RNA
Rfam family: Bacterial small subunit ribosomal RNA
Source: RNAcentral